Molecule: ribosomal RNA, 306 nt
Filed under: Peronia setoensis
Lineage: Eukaryota; Metazoa; Mollusca; Gastropoda; Systellommatophora; Onchidiidae
Description: partial large subunit ribosomal RNA
Source: RNAcentral
GGAGUCGAGUAUGAAUGGGUUUACGGAAACAAGCUGUCUCUUUUUGGUUAUAUUGAAGUUUCUUUAAGGGUGCAAAGUCCCUUGGUUAGAAAAAAGACGAGAAGACCCUUAGAGUUUUUACUAAAGAUAAAAAUUUAUUUAAGUUUUUGCUGGGGCGGCAAAGAGACAAAUAGUUAACUCUCUUUUUAUUGUUUUUAGAAGACGAAAAUGUUAAGAAUCAUUAAACUACCUUAGGGAUAACAGCAUAAUUAAGUUUUAGUUUGUGACCUCGAUGUUGGACUAGGAAGACUUUUGACCAGCAGUCAA